UGAGUGUUAAUGAUGACUCUUUUUGCGGAAUCCAAUUAAACAUGCGGAUACCAACCUUGGAGAACUGAACACUCA
Non-coding RNA from Astyanax mexicanus (Mexican tetra), 75 nucleotides. The record is from Rfam. Lineage: Eukaryota; Metazoa; Chordata; Actinopteri; Characiformes; Acestrorhamphidae.